GCCAGAGUGCUGGAACGGUAGACAGACCAGUCUCAAAAACUGGUGAGGGCAACCUCGUGAGGGUUCGAUUCCCUCCUCUGGUA
Molecule: transfer RNA, 83 nt
Filed under: Candidatus Roizmanbacteria bacterium RIFCSPHIGHO2_02_FULL_37_13b
Lineage: Bacteria; Candidatus Roizmaniibacteriota
Also listed under: 1 other name
Description: tRNA-Leu
Rfam family: tRNA
About the family: Transfer RNA (tRNA) molecules are approximately 80 nucleotides in length. Their secondary structure includes four short double-helical elements and three loops (D, anti-codon, and T loops).
Source: RNAcentral